This 447-nucleotide ribosomal RNA is filed under the name uncultured bacterium. RNAcentral describes it as "bacterial SSU rRNA". It matches the Rfam family "Bacterial small subunit ribosomal RNA", at positions 29 to 519 of the family's 1533-position model. The record is from RNAcentral.
AACGAACGCUGGCGGCAGGCUUAACACAUGCAAGUCGAACGGGUGUAGCAAUACAUCAGUGGCAGACGGGUGAGUAACACGUGGGAACCUUCCUAGGGGUACGGAACAACUCAGGGAAACUUGAGCUAAUACCGUAUACGUCCGUAAGGAGAAAGAUUCAUCGCCCCUAGACGGGCCCGCGUCGGAUUAGGUAGUUGGUGGGGUAACGGCCUACCAAGCCUACGAUCCGUAGCUGAUCUGAGAGGANGAUCAGCCACGCUGGGACUGAGACACGGCCCAGACUCCUACGGGAGGCAGCAGUGGGGAAUCUUGGACAAUGGGCGCAAGCCUGAUCCAGCCAUGCCGCGUGAGUGAAGAAGGCCUUAGGGUUGUAAAGCUCUUUUACCAGGGACGAUAAUGACGGUACCUGGAGAAUAAGCCCCGGCAAACUUCGUGCCAGCAGCCGCU